AAUCAACGCUGGCGGCGUGCCUAACACAUGCAAGUCGCACGAGAAAGGGACUUCGGUCCUGAGUACAGUGGCGCACGGGUGAGUAACACGUGAACCAUCUACCUUCGAGUGGGGAAUAACUGAGAGAAAUCUUAGCUAAUACCGCAUAAUACCUACGGGUCAAAGCAGCAAUGCGCUUGAAGAGGAGUUCGCGGCAGAUUAGUUAGUUGGCAGGGUAAUGGCCACCAAGACGAUGAUCUGUAUCCGGCCUGAGAGGGCGCACGGACACACUGGAACUGAAACACGGUCCAGACUCCUACGGGAGGCAGCAGU
This 312-nucleotide ribosomal RNA is filed under the name uncultured bacterium. Its description in RNAcentral is "bacterial SSU rRNA". It matches the Rfam family "Bacterial small subunit ribosomal RNA", at positions 32 to 355 of the family's 1533-position model. The record is from RNAcentral.